RNAcentral lists this ribosomal RNA (1369 nucleotides) under uncultured bacterium. Its description in RNAcentral is "bacterial SSU rRNA". It matches the Rfam family "Bacterial small subunit ribosomal RNA", at positions 28 to 1381 of the family's 1533-position model. The record is from RNAcentral.
GACGAACGCUGGCGGCGUGCCUAAUACAUGCAAGUAGAACGCUGAAGAGAGGAGCUUGCUCUUCUUGGAUGAGUUGCGAACGGGUGAGUAACGCGUAGGUAACCUGCCUGGUAGCGGGGGAUAACUAUUGGAAACGAUAGCUAAUACCGCAUAAAAUUGAUUAUUGCAUGAUAAUUAAUUGAAAGAUGCAAUUGCAUCACUACCAGAUGGACCUGCGUUGUAUUAGCUAGUUGGUGAGGUAACGGCUCACCAAGGCGACGAUACAUAGCCGACCUGAGAGGGUGAUCGGCCACACUGGGACUGAGACACGGCCCAGACUCCUACGGGAGGCAGCAGUAGGGAAUCUUCGGCAAUGGGGGGAACCCUGACCGAGCAACGCCGCGUGAGUGAAGAAGGUUUUCGGAUCGUAAAGCUCUGUUGUAAGAGAAGAACGGGUGUGAGAGUGGAAAGUUCACACUGUGACGGUAUCUUACCAGAAAGGGACGGCUAACUACGUGCCAGCAGCCGCGGUAAUACGUAGGUCCCGAGCGUUGUCCGGAUUUAUUGGGCGUAAAGCGAGCGCAGGCGGUUAGAUAAGUCUGAAGUUAAAGGCUGUGGCUUAACCAUAGUAUGCUUUGGAAACUGUUUAACUUGAGUGCAGAAGGGGAGAGUGGAAUUCCAUGUGUAGCGGUGAAAUGCGUAGAUAUAUGGAGGAACACCGGUGGCGAAAGCGGCUCUCUGGUCUGUAACUGACGCUGAGGCUCGAAAGCGUGGGGAGCAAACAGGAUUAGAUACCCUGGUAGUCCACGCCGUAAACGAUGAGUGCUAGGUGUUAGGCCCUUUCCGGGGCUUAGUGCCGCAGCUAACGCAUUAAGCACUCCGCCUGGGGAGUACGACCGCAAGGUUGAAACUCAAAGGAAUUGACGGGGGCCCGCACAAGCGGUGGAGCAUGUGGUUUAUUUCGAAGCAACGCGAAGAACCUUACCAGGUCUUGACAUCCCUCUGACCGCUCUAGAGAUAGAGUUUUCCUUCGGGACAGAGGUGACAGGUGGUGCAUGGUUGUCGUCAGCUCGUGUCGUGAGAUGUUGGGUUAAGUCCCGCAACGAGCGCAACCCCUAUUGUUAGUUGCCAUCAUUCAGUUGGGCACUCUAGCGAGACUGCCGGUAAUAAACCGGAGGAAGGUGGGGAUGACGUCAAAUCAUCAUGCCCCUUAUGACCUGGGCUACACACGUGCUACAAUGGCUGGUACAACGAGUCGCAAGCCGGUGACGGCAAGCUAAUCUCUGAAAGCCAGUCUCAGUUCGGAUUGUAGGCUGCAACUCGCCUACAUGAAGUCGGAAUCGCUAGUAAUCGCGGAUCAGCACGCCGCGGUGAAUACGUUCCCGGGCCU